Molecule: long non-coding RNA, 1869 nt
Filed under: Diabrotica virgifera virgifera (western corn rootworm)
Lineage: Eukaryota; Metazoa; Arthropoda; Insecta; Coleoptera; Chrysomelidae
Description: uncharacterized LOC126882115
Source: RNAcentral
AAAUGUCCAGCAAACGACGGCAAUGUUGCCAGAUUCCUUUUAGCGGGAAUUUUAAAAUUUUAUACCAGUUUGGUUUUAAAUUUGACAGUUCUGUUUUCUCAAGUCAAAAAUCUUAACCUUACUUUUACAAGUGAUUAGGAUUAUUAUUAUUUUAUUUACAUGUAAAUUGAAACAAUAAAUAUUGUGCUGUGUCAUAAUUUCAAACUCAUUAUGUUGCAGUCUUUUCCAGUUGAUAAAAUUGCAAUUCAAAAACUUUGAGAUUUGUACUGUAUGGAUGGCACAGGAAGAGAACAAGAACAUGAAACAUCUUAUUAUGAAUGUAUAUGUAUGUGAUCCUCAAAAAAUGAUUUUACAAAACAAGAUAGAGAAAGAGCUUUAAAAUCCCAAGGAUCCUGCAAAAUGUUUAUUUGGUGUACUAGUCGAAUAAUAGUAUCUAAAAAUAUUGAAACUAUUUACGGGCAUGAGGAUGAUAUAGAGCACUUACAUAAAUACCAAAAUCAGAUAAAUAUCUCUUCAAAGUUUAUUUUGAGACUUUCUUCAAAAAUUAAACUUCAGACUGUUCAGGAUAGCAUAAUAGCAUAGGAGGCGAAUUAAAAAGAAUUAAUUUACUUACAAGAAAAGAUAUCACAAACAUUAAACUUUCUUAUGGCAUUGAUUUGAAAGAUGGGUAUAUGUACAAUGAUGAUGCAACCAGUGUUUAUUUUUGGGUUGAAUGCUUACAGACUCAUGUCCAAUAUUAUUUUACAAACAACAGGGCAUACUAAUGGAUAUUCAUUCUGAAUUUAACAUUUAUGAUUUUUGUCUUAUUUUCCUUAAUACUGUGCCAAAAGGAAAUGUUAAUUAAGUUUGGUAAAUCCUUUAUCACAAUCGAUGGAACUCAUGGGCUCAAUUCCUAUGACUUUGAACUUAUGACAGUAUUAGUAAAAGAUGAAUUUGGGAAUGGAUUUUGUACUGCUUUCUUAUUUUCAAAUAGAAAAGAUACCUACUUUAAUUUACCAAUUUUUUUAAAUAAAUGUCUGUGUUGGUAUUAUAUGUAUAGUCAAAUGUUUUCAUAUCAGGCAUAAGCGACACCUUUUACAAUGCCUCGUCAAAUGUAAUGGGUAUUGCUCCUAAUAGACUGUUAAGUGCCUAGCACAUAGAUAGGUCAUGGUAAGUAAAUCUUAAUAAAAUAUCUGAUUCUGAAAAAAAUCCUAUUAUGUAUACAAGAUGUAUUAAUGAUGGUUUAGAAAGUAUUAAUAGCUUUUUGGGUAGACUUCUAAGUGAUGCAGAUACAUACAAUUUUAGUAAGUAUUUCCAGUAGAACUACUGCAAUAACAUCCAACAAUGGGCCUAUUGUUAUAGGAAGGGGUUGUGGAAUUAAUACCAAUAUGACCAUUCAAAAUUUUCAUAAAAUUUUGGAUAAAAGGGUAUCCAUUAGUUGUUAUCAGUUAAUUUUAAAACUUGGCACUCAUGGAGAGCUAUACCAUAAUAUAUAAUAGGUAUAUCUGAUAAUAUUAAAUCUCAUAUUGCUCACUCAUUACAAUAGUGAGCAAUAUGAGAUAUAACAUAUUAUAGUAUAAGUCUCUGUGCAUGACCAGAUUAACAUGUUUGGUGCCCAUCUCGAACAAGCUCCACUUGGCUGGUACCACAUACUUAAAUCAUUUAUUUAUACAUACAGUACUACUCACAUAACUUAUGUGUUAUCAGUACCUUCCGUAAAACCUUCGUGAUGCUACCCAUACGUCAUGGCCACUGAAUGUGUUAAAGCUUGUUAAUGUAGGAGAGUUAUACUAAAAUAUAUAUCUUAUAUUAUAUUGCCUUAAAUAGAAAAAAUAUCUUAUUUAAAUUGUAUCAAUUAAGUUUUGAUUUAAUGAAAUAAACCUUUUAAUU